RNAcentral lists this unclassified non-coding RNA (333 nucleotides) under uncultured Psathyrella. RNAcentral describes it as "partial contains 5.8S ribosomal RNA, internal transcribed spacer 2, and large subunit ribosomal RNA". The stretch from base 1 to 102 matches the Rfam family "5.8S ribosomal RNA", at positions 53 to 154 of the family's 154-position model. The record is from RNAcentral. Lineage: Eukaryota; Fungi; Basidiomycota; Agaricomycetes; Agaricales; Psathyrellaceae.
AUGCGAUAAGUAAUGUGAAUUGCAGAAUUCAGUGAAUCAUCGAAUCUUUGAACGCACCUUGCGCUCCUUGGUAUUCCGAGGAGCAUGCCUGUUUGAGUGUCAUUAAAUUCUCAACUUCAUCAUUUUUUGUUGAAGCUUGGAUGUGGGGGUUGUGCAGAACACUUUGGUGGUCUGCUCCCCUUAAAUGAAUUAGCGAGUUCAAACUGAGCUCCGUCUAUUGGUGUGAUAAUUAUCUACGCUGUGGAUGGGACUUAGACUUGCUUCUAAACUGUCCGCAAGGACAAUUCUUGACAAUUUGACCUCAAAUCAGGUAGGACUACCCGCUGAACUUAA